Amblyraja radiata (thorny skate) is the source of this 1267-nucleotide long non-coding RNA. RefSeq lists it as uncharacterized. Lineage: Eukaryota; Metazoa; Chordata; Chondrichthyes; Rajiformes; Rajidae. The transcript has 7 exons. The record is from RefSeq and is a predicted model, not a curated record.
UAAGUAUUAUCAUCGAUAAGAGCUCUCCACACACAUUCACAGCAGGUGAAAGUUACAAAGCCUGGUGUACUUCACAGAUCACUAACCCAGUUCAAGAGCAAGAAGUUGAAAGCAGUUGACCACCAGAUGGGAUGUUGUAGCUAUGAAGUAAUGAUGUUGAAAUAUGUUUCUGUUGAGCACGAGUCGUCUGGAGGGGAAGACCAGUUUGAUUCUUGAAGUGCAGACAAACCCAUAAUGUACAGGUCGUAAAAAUUCACACAGCUGCACACAUACAAACAGAACACCAGAGUUGGCCAAUGCGGUGAGCAGAGGAUUCCUCAAAAUAUGAUUGCCACCUGAUUGAAUUAGGAGAAAAUCCCUCUUCAAGGCAGAAAGUAUCGAAUAGCAGUCUGGCCGAUUAUAACGCACAUGUGCUUUAAUGAAACAACACCUGAAGGAAGGAUUCAUCCUCACAAUGUCUGAUCUUCACUCUAAUGUGAUCCCUGGAGCUGCACGCACAAUGAUGGAUCCAGUAUCUCUUGAUAGAUUUCUGCGGCAUAAUAGAUCUGGGAUACGCCGGUCAACUUUGUUACACUGCUGGAACGGUCAGAUUCUGAAGAGAUCUUCCUUCUUGUGUCUCUGAGAAGCAUAGUCGUUUUGCAGGAGCAACCAUUUGCAAUGGAGCAGAAGAUGCCAUAAACUAUGCGAGUCUGACUGCUUACAAUAGUUUUAUCUUACCUGAGAUUGCUUGAGUCUUGCAAGAAAGAAAAUAAUUAUUUGCAACUAUUCUGAAUCAGCUGGGUUUUUUUUAACAUUAUUGGCAGGCCCCAUUUUGGCUGUAGAUGCAAGCUCAGAGUUUCCCAUGGACUGCAAGAAUCAGCCUGCUGUGGCUGGUUGGGUUCCUGGCAGAGUGAUUUGAUUUAAUAACGUAAAAUCACAUUGCCAGGGAUUACCAACCUGUCAACAGCUAAUGCCGACAACUUCUUGCAGAAAAUUGCAUCUUGCUAUUGGGGAGAGAGGAAUUGUACAUUUUUCCACGUCCUUAAUAAUCAAGGAAUCACUGGAACAAAAAAAAGAUGCAGCUGUAUCUACAUUGCCAUCAGCCAUCCCGAUCAUAUCGUAGCAGAUGUCUUGUACUCCCAUACAUUAAGAGUGGAAAGCCUUGCUUACUUUUACGAUACCCGUUCAUUUGGAAAGAUUGUGAUCAGACAAUGAGCAAUUCAAUGUUAGGUAGUAAUGUCAAAUGCACAGCAUCGUUUGAUGAUCAAUUAGACAUAACUCCUUAGUA